Aotus nancymaae (Ma's night monkey) is the source of this 102-nucleotide small nuclear RNA. The record is from Ensembl. Lineage: Eukaryota; Metazoa; Chordata; Mammalia; Primates; Aotidae.
UCACUUCAGCAGCACAUGUACUAAAAUUGGAGUGAUACAGAGAAGAUUAGUAUAGGCCCUGAACAAAAUGACAGGCAAAUUCGUGAAGCAUUCCAUAUUUUA